RNAcentral lists this transfer RNA (87 nucleotides) under Pseudogymnoascus destructans. RNAcentral describes it as "partial tRNA-OTHER". It matches the Rfam family "tRNA". From Rfam's summary of the family: Transfer RNA (tRNA) molecules are approximately 80 nucleotides in length. Their secondary structure includes four short double-helical elements and three loops (D, anti-codon, and T loops). Further hydrogen bonds mediate the characteristic L-shaped molecular structure. tRNAs have two regions of fundamental functional importance: the anti-codon, which is responsible for specific mRNA codon recognition, and the 3' end, to which the tRNAs corresponding amino acid is attached (by aminoacyl-tRNA synthetases). tRNAs cope with the degeneracy of the genetic code in two manners: having more than one tRNA (with a specific anti-codon) for a particular amino acid; and 'wobble' base-pairing, i.e. permitting non-standard base-pairing at the 3rd anti-codon position. The record is from RNAcentral. Lineage: Eukaryota; Fungi; Ascomycota; Leotiomycetes; Thelebolales; Thelebolaceae.
AGGAAGGUUCCGUUUGUUGGUAUGACGGGUUGAGCUGUAAACUCAAUAGCCUUUUGCUGUCGAAGGUUCAAUUCCUUUUCUUCCUAA